Molecule: long non-coding RNA, 278 nt
Filed under: Zostera marina
Lineage: Eukaryota; Viridiplantae; Streptophyta; Magnoliopsida; Alismatales; Zosteraceae
Description: long non-coding RNA (ZMAR_LNC005017)
Source: RNAcentral
ACUUAUUACGUCAAUUAACUUUGCGAGUCUUAAGUUAGUUGUGAAGUUUAAUUUAUUUCACGAAUUUAGCCGUAGACUGAGCUACGAUUCGUACGACCAAGCCUACGCCCAGAGUGGCUAGCAAUAGGGUUACCAGAGUCUAAUUUACGUCCAGAGUGGCUAAAUUACGACUUGUGAAUCUAGUUUCGGGUCUUAGUUACAAUUCGAUAAAUAAAUUAAAUAAACAAUUAAUUAAGAAAGCAAAAUAAUUGGUUAAAAUAAGUUCCAAAAAUAUUACA